AUUGAACGCUGGCGGCAGGCCUAACACAUGCAAGUCGGACGGUAGCACAGAGAGCUUGCUCUUGGGUGACGAGUGGCGGACGGGUGAGUAAUGUCUGGGGAUCUGCCCGAUAGAGGGGGAUAACCACUGGAAACGGUGGCUAAUACCGCAUAACGUCGCAAGACCAAAGAGGGGGACCUUCGGGCCUCUCACUAUCGGAUGAACCCAGAUGGGAUUAGCUAGUAGGCGGGGUAAUGGCCCACCUAGGCGACGAUCCCUAGCUGGUCUGAGAGGAUGACCAGCCACACUGGAACUGAGACACGGUCCAGACUCCUACGGGAGGCAGCAGUGGGGAAUAUUGCACAAUGGGCGCAAGCCUGAUGCAGCCAUGCCGCGUGUAUGAAGAAGGCCUUCGGGUUGUAAAGUACUUUCAGCGGGGAGGAAGGCGGUGAGGUUAAUAACCUUGCCGAUUGACGUUACCCGCAGAAGAAGCACCGGCUAACUCCGUGCCAGCCGCCGCCGUAA
RNAcentral lists this ribosomal RNA (504 nucleotides) under uncultured bacterium. RNAcentral's name for it is "partial 16S ribosomal RNA". It matches the Rfam family "Bacterial small subunit ribosomal RNA", at positions 29 to 523 of the family's 1533-position model. The record is from RNAcentral.